AACCUUUCAAUUGGCGUCAAACCACCCUAUAUACAGGGUGUCGGGCAACCGACUAUGACGAUAAAUUGCCUGUGUAAUAAACCUAUCGGACCCGGGGGCGGUACCCGGCGCCUCCACCAAAAACCAUCUCGCAAUGAGUGCCGGAUGGCUUUUGA
Molecule: transfer-messenger RNA, 155 nt
Filed under: Rhizobiaceae bacterium
Lineage: Bacteria; Pseudomonadati; Pseudomonadota; Alphaproteobacteria; Hyphomicrobiales; Rhizobiaceae
Description: partial transfer-messenger RNA
Rfam family: Alphaproteobacteria transfer-messenger RNA
About the family: Bacterial tmRNA, also known as 10Sa RNA or SsrA, is named for its dual tRNA and mRNA-like properties. Its role is to liberate the mRNA from a stalled ribosome.
Source: RNAcentral